RNAcentral lists this microRNA precursor (192 nucleotides) under Oryza brachyantha (malo sina). RNAcentral's name for it is "MIR812 microRNA precursor family". It matches the Rfam family "MIR812 microRNA precursor family". The record is from Rfam by way of RNAcentral. Lineage: Eukaryota; Viridiplantae; Streptophyta; Magnoliopsida; Poales; Poaceae.
AAUAAACCAAUUUUUUAUUUUUUACCUACAAUUUUUAACUCUUUAUCUUAUUCAAAUUUUUUUGAUUGAUUUUUUUGUUUUUGUUAGAUGAUAAAUCAUAAAUAGUACUUUACGUGUGGCUAAUUUUUUUCUAAUUUUUUGAAAAUUUUUCAAAUAAGACGGAUGGUCAAACGUUGGACAUGAAAACCGGAG